GGCGGACGGGUGAGUAAUGCUUAGGAAUCUGCCUGUUAGUGGGGGACAACAUUCCGAAAGGAAUGCUAAUACCGCAUACGUCCUACGGGAGAAAGCAGGGGAUCUUCGGACCUUGCGCUAAAUGAUGAGCCUAAGUCGGAUUAGCUAGUUGGUGGGGUAAAGGCCUACCAAGGCGACGAUCUGUAGCGGGUCUGAGAGGAUGAUCCGCCACACUGGGACUGAGACACGGCCCAGACUCCUACGGGAGGCAGCAGUGGGGAAUAUUGGACAAUGGGCGGAAGCCUGAUCCAGCCAUGCCGCGUGUGUGAAGAAGGCCUUUUGGUUGUAAAGCACUUUAAGCGAGGAGGAGGCUACUAGUACUAAUACUACUGGAUAGUGGACGUUACUCGCAGAAUAAGCACCGGCUAACUCUGUGCCAGCAGCCGCGGUAAUACAGAGGGUGCGAGCGUUAAUCGGAUUUACUGGGCGUAAAGCGUGCGUAGGCGGCUUUUUAAGUCGGAUGUGAAAUCCCUGAGCUUAACUURGGAAUUGCAUUCGAUACUGGGAAGCUAGAGUAUGGGAGAGGAUGGUAGAAUUCCAGGUGUAGCGGUGAAAUGCGUAGAGAUCUGGAGGAAUACCGAUGGCGAAGGCAGCCAUCUGGCCUAAUACUGACGCUGAGGUACGAAAGCAUGGGGAGCAAACAGGAUUAGAUACCCUGGUAGUCCAUGCCGUAAACGAUGUCUACUAGCCGUUGGGGCCUUUGAGGCUUUAGUGGCGCAGCUAACGCGAUAAGUAGACCGCC
RNAcentral lists this ribosomal RNA (781 nucleotides) under Acinetobacter sp. A1a-17. RNAcentral's name for it is "bacterial SSU rRNA". It matches the Rfam family "Bacterial small subunit ribosomal RNA", at positions 97 to 873 of the family's 1533-position model. Lineage: Bacteria; Pseudomonadati; Pseudomonadota; Gammaproteobacteria; Moraxellales; Moraxellaceae. The record is from RNAcentral.